Molecule: transfer RNA, 65 nt
Filed under: Elateroidea sp. BMNH 1274768
Lineage: Eukaryota; Metazoa; Arthropoda; Insecta; Coleoptera
Description: tRNA-Ser
Source: RNAcentral
AGCUAAUGAGCUUGUAUAAGUUUAUAUUUUGAAAAUAUAAGAAAGGGGGAAUCUCCUAUUAGCUU